RNAcentral lists this ribosomal RNA (467 nucleotides) under uncultured bacterium. RNAcentral describes it as "partial 16S ribosomal RNA". It matches the Rfam family "Bacterial small subunit ribosomal RNA", at positions 28 to 507 of the family's 1533-position model. The record is from RNAcentral.
GACGAACGCUGGCGGCGUGCUUAACACAUGCAAGUCGAACGAUGACGCCCGAGCUUGCUCGGUCUGAUUAGUGGCGAACGGGUGAGUAACACGUGAGCAACCUGCCCUUCACUCUGGGAUAACCUCGGGAAAUCGGGGCUAAUACCGGAUAUGAGCUCCUGUCGCAUGGCGGAUGUUGGAAAGUUUUUCGGUGAAGGAUGGGCUCGCGGCCUAUCAGUUUGUUGGUGAGGUAGUGGCUCACCAAGGCGAUGACGGGUAGCCGGCCUGAGAGGGCGACCGGCCACACUGGGACUGAGACACGGCCCAGACUCCUACGGGAGGCAGCAGUGGGGAAUAUUGCACAAUGGGCGAAAGCCUGAUGCAGCGACGCCGCGUGAGGGAUGACGGCCUUCGGGUUGUAAACCUCUUUCAGCAGGGAAGAAGCGAAAGUGACGGUACCUGCAGAAGAAGCGCCGGCUAACUACGUG